This 460-nucleotide ribosomal RNA is filed under the name uncultured bacterium. RNAcentral describes it as "partial 16S ribosomal RNA". It matches the Rfam family "Bacterial small subunit ribosomal RNA", at positions 338 to 795 of the family's 1533-position model. The record is from RNAcentral.
CCUACGGGUGGCAGCAGUGAGGAAUAUUGGUCAAUGGACGCAAGUCUGAACCAGCCAUGCCGCGUGCAGGAAGACGGCUCUAUGAGUUGUAAACUGCUUUUGUACGAGGGUAAACGCAGAUACGCGUAUCUGUCUGAAAGUAUCGUACGAAUAAGGAUCGGCUAACUCCGUGCCAGCAGCCGCGGUAAUACGGAGGAUUCAAGCGUUAUCCGGAUUUAUUGGGUUUAAAGGGUGCGUAGGCGGUCGGAUAAGUUAGAUGUGAAAUCCCGAGGCUCAACUUCGGAAUUGCCUCUGAUACUGUUCGGCGAGAGAGUAGUUGCGGUAGGCGGAAUGUAUGGUGUAGCGGUGAAAUGCUGAGAGAUCAUACAGAACACCGAUUGCGAAGGCAGCUUACCAAGCUACUUCUGACGUUGAGGCACGAAAGCGUGGGGAGCAAACAGGAUUAGAUACCCGAGUAGUC